This 303-nucleotide ribosomal RNA is filed under the name uncultured bacterium. Its description in RNAcentral is "partial 16S ribosomal RNA". It matches the Rfam family "Bacterial small subunit ribosomal RNA", at positions 507 to 807 of the family's 1533-position model. The record is from RNAcentral.
AGCAGUAGCCGCGGUAAUACGGAGGGUGCAAGCGUUAAUCGGAAUUACUGGGCGUAAAGCGCACGCAGGCGGUCUGUCAAGUCAGAUGUGAAAUCCCCGGGCUUAACCUGGGAACUGCAUUUGAAACUGGCAGGCUAGAGUCUUGUAGAGGGGGGUAGAAUUCCAGGUGUAGCGGUGAAAUGCGUAGAGAUCUGGAGGAAUACCGGUGGCGAAGGCUGCCCCCUGGACAAAGACUGACGCUCAGGUGCGAAAGCGUGGGGAGCAAACAGGAUUAGAGACCCCUGUAGUCCCUGUCUCUUAUAC